GACGGGGCCCGCACAAGCGGUGGAGCAUGUGGUUUAAUUCGACGCAACGCGAAGAACCUUACCAGGGCUUGACAUGCUUGAAGUAGAAACUCGAAAGAGGGACGACCUGUAUCCAAUCAGGAGCUUGCACAGGUGCUGCAUGGCUGUCGUCAGCUCGUGCCGUGAGGUGUUAGGUUAAGUCCUGCAACGAGCGCAACCCUCGUCGCUAGUAAUUUUCUAGCGAUACUGCCCGUAUAACGCGGAGGAAGGUGGGGAUGACGUCAAGUCAGCAUGGCCCUUACGUCCUGGGCUACACACACGCUACAAUGGGUGAUACAAAAGGUUGCAAUAGAGUGAUCUGGAGCUAAUCCUGAAAAUCAUCCUCAGUUCGGAUUGUAGGCUGAAACUGCCUGCAUGAAGUUGGAGUUGCUAGUAACCGCAGGUCAGCACACUGCGGUGAAUACGUUCUCGGGCCUU
RNAcentral lists this ribosomal RNA (456 nucleotides) under uncultured Chloroflexota bacterium. RNAcentral's name for it is "bacterial SSU rRNA". It matches the Rfam family "Bacterial small subunit ribosomal RNA", at positions 916 to 1381 of the family's 1533-position model. The record is from RNAcentral. Lineage: Bacteria; Bacillati; Chloroflexota.